This 30-nucleotide non-coding RNA is filed under the name Rattus norvegicus (Norway rat). The record is from RNAcentral. Lineage: Eukaryota; Metazoa; Chordata; Mammalia; Rodentia; Muridae.
UAGGACAUGCUGCCCAGUAGUGGCGGAUCC